AGCAGCCGCGGUAAUUCCAGCUCCAAUAGCGUAUAUUAAAGUUGUUGCAGUUAAAAAGCUCGUAGUUGAAUUUCGGGGUCAGUAGGUUGGUCGUGCCACUGGUAUGCACUGGUCUCGCUGAUUCCUCCUUCCUGAUGAACCGUAAUGCCAUUAAUUUGGUGUUGCGGGGAAUCUGGACUGUUACUUUGAAAAAAUUAGAGUGUUUAAAGCAGGCUCACGCUUGAAUACAUUAGCAUGGAAUAACGGAAUAGGACGUUUGAUUCUAUUUUGUUGGUUUCUAGGAUCGACGUAAUGAUUAAUAGGGAUAGUUGGGGGCAUUAGUAUUCAAUUGUCAGAGGUGAAAUUCUUGGAUUUAUUGAAGACUAACUACUGCGAAAGCAUUUGCCAAGGAUGUUUUCAUUAAUCAAGAACGAAAGUUAGGGGAUCGAAGACGAUCAGAUACCGUCGUAGUCUUAACCAUAAACUAUGCCGACUAGGGAUCGGAUGAUGUUAAUUUUUUAAUGA
RNAcentral lists this ribosomal RNA (504 nucleotides) under uncultured Glomus. RNAcentral describes it as "SSU rRNA". It matches the Rfam family "Eukaryotic small subunit ribosomal RNA", at positions 569 to 1077 of the family's 1831-position model. The record is from RNAcentral. Lineage: Eukaryota; Fungi; Glomeromycota; Glomeromycetes; Glomerales; Glomeraceae.